GGGCGUUGGAUGAGUGAGAGGCGUUGGAUCGAUUUCACUCAAUCCAAGCCUCACAUUCAUCAAGUGUUCGU
This is a non-coding RNA of Nicotiana sylvestris (wood tobacco), 71 nucleotides long. Lineage: Eukaryota; Viridiplantae; Streptophyta; Magnoliopsida; Solanales; Solanaceae. The record is from Rfam.